RNAcentral lists this microRNA (21 nucleotides) under Pan troglodytes (chimpanzee). RNAcentral describes it as "ptr-miR-1178". Lineage: Eukaryota; Metazoa; Chordata; Mammalia; Primates; Hominidae. RNAcentral also lists the same sequence under 2 other names. The record is from miRBase by way of RNAcentral.
UUGCUCACUGUUCUUCCCUAG